ACUACGGGUGGGCAGCAGUGAGGAAUAUUGGUCAAUGGGCGCGAGCCUGAACCAGCCAAGUAGCGUGAAGGAUGACUGCCCUACGGGUUGUAAACUUCUUUUAUAAAGGAAUAAAGUGAGGCACGUGUGCCUUUUUGUAUGUACUUUAUGAAUAAGGAUCGGCUAAAUCCGUGCCAGCAGCCGCGGUAAUACGUAGAAUCCGAGCGUUAUCCGGAUUUGUUGUGUUUAAAGGUAGCGUAGAUGGGUUGUUAAGUCAGUUGUGAAAGUUUGCGGCUCAACCGUAAAAUUGCAAUUGAUAUUGGCAGUCUUGAGUACAGUUGAGGUAGGCGGAAUUCGUGGUGUAGCGGUGAAAUGCUUAGAUAUCACGAAGAACUCCGAUUGCGAAGGCAGCUUACUAAACUGCCACUGACAUUGAUGCUCGAAAGUGUGGGUAUCAAACAGGAUUAGAUACCCGAGUAGUC
RNAcentral lists this ribosomal RNA (461 nucleotides) under uncultured bacterium. RNAcentral describes it as "partial 16S ribosomal RNA". It matches the Rfam family "Bacterial small subunit ribosomal RNA", at positions 338 to 795 of the family's 1533-position model. The record is from RNAcentral.